AACUUUUAACAACGGAUCUCUUGGCUUUCGCAUCGAUGAAGAAUGCCGCGAAAGCGCGAAAUGUAAUGUGAAUUGCAGAAUUCAGUGAACCAUCGAAUCUUUGAACGCACCUUGCACCCCUUGGUAUUCCGAGGGGCAUGCCUGUUUGAGUAUCGUGAAGUCCCUCGACCCCCUCCCCACACUUUGCCCGGGGGGCGGCCGGACGUGGACGUUGCCCUUCUCUUCGAGAGGGGCUCGUCUCGAAAUGCAUCAGCCAGGUCCCAACUCGGUCCCCACAGACAACGGUGUGAUAAACUCGUAUUUGCUCGCGUUGGCAGUGGCAAAUGGGUCGGCUCACAGUCGUCUUCGGACAAGCGUAUUUCAAAUCCGUACCUCAAAUCAGGUAGGACUACCCGCUGAACUUAAGCAUAUCAAUAAGCGGAGGCU
RNAcentral lists this unclassified non-coding RNA (426 nucleotides) under uncultured Hysterangium. RNAcentral's name for it is "sequence contains ITS2". The stretch from base 1 to 155 matches the Rfam family "5.8S ribosomal RNA". The record is from RNAcentral. Lineage: Eukaryota; Fungi; Basidiomycota; Agaricomycetes; Hysterangiales; Hysterangiaceae.